GGCCCAGUGGCCUAAUGGAUAAGGCACCAGCUUCUGGAGCUGGGGGUUGUGGGUUCGAGUCCCAUCUGGGGCU
Molecule: transfer RNA, 73 nt
Filed under: Petromyzon marinus (sea lamprey)
Lineage: Eukaryota; Metazoa; Chordata; Hyperoartia; Petromyzontiformes; Petromyzontidae
Description: tRNA-Gln (CTG) (tRNA-Gln-CTG-41 1 to 7)
Rfam family: tRNA
About the family: Transfer RNA (tRNA) molecules are approximately 80 nucleotides in length.
Source: RNAcentral